Molecule: transfer RNA, 65 nt
Filed under: Heterocephalus glaber (naked mole-rat)
Lineage: Eukaryota; Metazoa; Chordata; Mammalia; Rodentia; Bathyergidae
Rfam family: tRNA
About the family: Transfer RNA (tRNA) molecules are approximately 80 nucleotides in length.
Source: Rfam by way of RNAcentral
GGUGUAGCUCAGUAGUAGAGCAUAUGUUUAGCAUACAUAAGGCCCUGGGUUCAGUAGCUAGCACC